GACGAACGCUGGCGGCGCGCCUAACACAUGCAAGUCGAACGAGCGAGAGGAGGUUUACUUUCUCAAGCGAGUGGCGAACGGGUGAGUAACGCGUGAGGAACCUGCCUCAAAGAGGGAGACAACAGUUGGAAACGACUGCUAAUACCGCAUAAGCCCACGACCCGGCAUCGGGUAGAGGGAAAAGGAGCAAUCCGCUUUGAGAUGGCCUCGCGUCCGAUUAGCUAGUUGGUGAGGUAAUGGCCCACCAAGGCGACGAUCGGUAGCCGGACUGAGAGGUUGAACGGCCACAUUGGGACUGAGACACGGCCCAGACUCCUACGGGAGGCAGCAGUGGGGAAUAUUGCACAAUGGGGGAAACCCUGAUGCAGCGACGCCGCGUGGAGGAAGAAGGUCUUCGGAUUGUAAACUCCUGUUGUUGAGGAAGAUAAUGACGGUACUCAACAAGGAAGUGACGGCUAACUACGUGCCAGCAGCCGCGGUAAAACGUAGGUCACAAGCGUUGUCCGGAAUUACUGGGUGUAAAGGGAGCGCAGGCGGGAAGACAAGUUGGAAGUGAAAUCCAUGGGCUCAACCCAUGAACUGCUUUCGAAACUGUUUUUCUUGAGUAGUGCAGAGGUAGGCGGAAUUCCCGGUGUAGCGGUGGAAUGCGUAGAUAUCGGGAGGAACGCCAGUGGCGAAGGCGGCCUACUGGGCACCAACUGACGCUGAGGCUCGAAAGUGUGGGUAGCAAACAGGAUUAGAUACCCUGGUAGUCCACACUGUAAACGAUGAUUACUAGGUGUUGGAGGAUUGACCCCUUCAGUGCCGCAGUUAACACAAUAAGUAAUCCACCUGGGGAGUACGACCGCAAGGUUGAAACUCAAAGGAAUUGACGGGGGCCCGCACAAGCAGUGGAGUAUGUGGUUUAAUUCGACGCAACGCGAAGAACCUUACCAAGUCUUGACAUCCUGCGACGGACAUAGAAAUAUGUUUUCCUUCGGGACGCAGAGACAGGUGGUGCAUGGUUGUCGUCAGCUCGUGUCGUGAGAUGUUGGGUUAAGUCCCGCAACGAGCGCAACCCUUAUGGUCAGUUACUACGCAAGAGGACUCUGGCCAGACUGCCGUUGACAAAACGGAGGAAGGUGGGGAUGACGUCAAAUCAUCAUGCCCUUUAUGACUUGGGCUACACACGUACUACAAUGGCGUUAAACAAAGAGAAGCAAGACCGCGAGGUGGAGCAAAACUCAGAAACAACGUCCCAGUUCGGACUGCAGGCUGCAACUCGCCUGCACGAAGUCGGAAUUGCUAGUAAUCGCAGAUCAGCAUGCUGCGGUGAAUACGUUCCCGGGCCUU
This 1332-nucleotide ribosomal RNA is filed under the name uncultured bacterium. Its description in RNAcentral is "bacterial SSU rRNA". It matches the Rfam family "Bacterial small subunit ribosomal RNA", at positions 28 to 1382 of the family's 1533-position model. The record is from RNAcentral.